RNAcentral lists this ribosomal RNA (795 nucleotides) under Triticum aestivum (bread wheat). RNAcentral describes it as "partial small subunit ribosomal RNA". The record is from RNAcentral. Lineage: Eukaryota; Viridiplantae; Streptophyta; Magnoliopsida; Poales; Poaceae.
AUGGACGCGCCGCGGCCACGGUCGCCUCCUCCUCUGUUCAUGCCAACCGCGCCUUCCCCACCACCACGGCCACCGCUAUCCUCCUCGCCCUCCCUCGACUUCUCCUUCUCCUUCUCUCCGUUCCCUCCAUCGCCUCCACCUUCUCACGUCCACCCCCGCGUCCUUCCGCUUCCGGCCGCCGUCGACAUGUCCAGGAGACCCAUCGGCCGCGUCGGCAGCGACAUCAGCCAUAACAACUACGCCAAAGCCAACCAUCGUCAAGCCACGAGCCACAGCAGCUGCAGCAGCGAUGACAGGGACAGGGCCAAGGCCAGGGCGUCGCCUUUCUUUCCCGGCCUCGGCGGCGCGUGGAGAUCAGGCGAGGGCAGAGACGACACGGCCGGCAAGGCCGAGGAGGACAGGAAGAAGGUGAAGGGGAAGAGAGGGCCGCUGGAGGUGGGCCAGCGGGUGAAGAAGUACAUGGCGUCGCUGGUGGAGCAGCUGCUCGCCUCCUUCUCCAGGCACGGCGAGCGGGACAGGCGGGGGCAGCGGCGGAGGCCGCACACGUUCUCGGUGAGCGGGCCGGGCGCCGCCGCGACGAUGGAGCGCGAGCGGUGGAGGCAGCGGCGCGGGCAGCUGUCGUCGGCGCCGGCGUCGCUGCGUGCGUCUCCGGUGAACAGCGGUCACCUGUCGGUGGGCGGGUCGCUGGUGAAGGUGUCGACGUCGUCGGAGGAGAGCACGAUGGAGGAGCUGCAGAGCGCCAUCCAGGCCGCCAUCGCGCACUGCAAGAACUCCAUCGCCGUGGCCAAGCAGUAG